RNAcentral lists this ribosomal RNA (497 nucleotides) under uncultured bacterium. RNAcentral describes it as "partial 16S ribosomal RNA". It matches the Rfam family "Bacterial small subunit ribosomal RNA", at positions 28 to 507 of the family's 1533-position model. The record is from RNAcentral.
GAUGAACGCUGGCGGCGUGCCUAAUACAUGCAAGUCGAGCGAACAGACGAGGAGCUUGCUCCUCUGACGUUAGCGGCGGACGGGUGAGUAACACGUGGAUAACCUACCUAUAAGACUGGGAUAACUUCGGGAAACCGGAGCUAAUACCGGAUAAUAUAUUGAACCGCAUGGUUCAAUAGUGAAAGACGGUUUUGCUUGCAAUUAUAGAUGGAUCCGCGCCGCAUUAGCUAGUUGGUAAGGUAACGGCUUACCAAGGCAACGAUGCGUAGCCGACCUGAGAGGGUGAUCGGCCACACUGGAACUGAGACACGGUCCAGACUCCUACGGGAGGCAGCAGUAGGGAAUCUUCCGCAAUGGGCGAAAGCCUGACGGAGCAACGCCGCGUGAGUGAUGAAGGUCUUCGGAUCGUAAAACUCUGUUAUUAGGGAAGAACAAAUGUGUAAGUAACUAUGCACGUCUUGACGGUACCUAAUCAGAAAGCCACGGCUAACUACGUG